CACGCCUUCUGCAGGCGGCCGCUAAAGGGGCUACGUCAUCACGCUCGCCAAAGCGUAGGGGUGGGACUUCCUCUCUGGGGCUAGCACCGCUUCCGCCGGAAAUAGGAUCUUCCUUUCCUGUAGUUCGAAACCGUUGGCGGCUGCGCGGAAUGUCUUAUGGAAUCGGCUCUCUUUCGGACGGUUUUCCGUUCCUUUGUUGGAUGUGCGGAGAAGGCCGGGGAACGCGAGCGGGGUCGGAGGGAGAGCGGAUGUCAGGGGACUUUUCACUUAUAGCCAACAGAGGAAAUACCUGCUGUCUGGGGGCUUAUUCUCAGAUAAUGAGUUCAUCUGCUACUUGGAUAUAGUGCAUUGAUUGAGCAGCUAUUAAUUGGAAUGAAGGGUCCUCAAACUACGGCCCGCUGAGGACGUUUAUGCAGCCCGCUGGGUUAUGGCAAAAUCAGACUGGAAAUGAUGUUCGACCUAAACUUGCAUUAGCAACGCAUACUUCCAGCACUGGGCUGAGGCUCUGAGACAGAGUGUGAGGCAAUAGCGAGGUGAGGAUGAUGAUGUC
Molecule: long non-coding RNA, 550 nt
Organism: Sarcophilus harrisii (Tasmanian devil)
Lineage: Eukaryota; Metazoa; Chordata; Mammalia; Dasyuromorphia; Dasyuridae
Exons: 4
Source: RefSeq, a predicted model, not a curated record